Molecule: ribosomal RNA, 304 nt
Filed under: uncultured bacterium
Lineage: Bacteria
Description: partial 16S ribosomal RNA
Rfam family: Bacterial small subunit ribosomal RNA
Source: RNAcentral
CAGCAGCAGCCGCGGGAAUACGUAGGGUGCAAGCGUUAAUCGGAAUUACUGGGCGUAAAGCGUGCGCAGGCGGUUUUGUAAGACAGAGGUGAAAUCCCCGGGCUCAACCUGGGAACUGCCUUUGUGACUGCAAGGCUAGAGUACGGCAGAGGGGGAUGGAAUUCCGCGUGUAGCAGUGAAAUGCGUAGAUAUGCGGAGGAACACCGAUGGCGAAGGCAAUCCCCUGGGCCUGUACUGACGCUCAUGCACGAAAGCGUGGGGAGCAAACAGGAUUAGAUACCCCAGUAGUCCCUGUCUCUUAUAC